AAACACAAUGCAAAGCUGUAUAUGUCAUUACACAGACACAGCAGGCCUUAUUGCAUACACGCCGUUCAACUUUAUGAUGCAUCAUCCUUAUCUCAACUCAUCCCGGUACAAAAACAAGAGGAACCCAGAGGACCAUCAGAGCCCAGAGAGGAACGAACAGGACAACAAGUGCACCAAGCCGAGUUGCACCACUGACUGCUGCAGGCCAGUCAGCAGAGGAAACUCCAGUACAAUCAAAAAGGCUGGUUCCCAGUGCAUGUCUGCAAUGUGUCUGUCUCCCCAUCUGCAUGUGUUAUUUGAGUUCAAUGACACUGCUUCACAGACUGAUUUAAGUCUUAUUUUGCAGACUUGAAUGCAGCCAUAUUUUGAAACACAGCACAUAAACAUGCACAAAGUGGAAAAACAUGUUUUUUUUUGUUCUGCGACUUCAACUCUUUCCAUUUAUUUCCAUGGCGUCUGGUUAGAAAAAAAGAUUGGUGAGAAACUGUCAAUAUGGUAUCUAUAAAAAUGGACUGACUGAUA
This is a long non-coding RNA of Sander lucioperca (pikeperch), 522 nucleotides long. RefSeq lists it as uncharacterized. Lineage: Eukaryota; Metazoa; Chordata; Actinopteri; Perciformes; Percidae. The transcript has 2 exons. The record is from RefSeq and is a predicted model, not a curated record.